Hyaena hyaena (striped hyena) is the source of this 2071-nucleotide long non-coding RNA. RefSeq lists it as uncharacterized. NCBI's taxonomy places the organism in Eukaryota, Metazoa, Chordata, Mammalia, Carnivora, Hyaenidae. The record is from RefSeq and is a predicted model, not a curated record. The transcript has 5 exons.
ACAGCUGUGACUGAGCAGUCUGCUUAUGCUGGUGAGGCAUGCUUCAAAUGAAAAUCAAGUACAAUUCUAAGCUAAAGGAAACCUUGUACACCCAGUCUGAAAGGAUAUGCCCCUGGACUCCAAUCAGGGGACUGACCCAUGUUAUGGCCUGGAUCUGCCAUGAGGAGAUGUGCAACCUCUGGCAACCCCAGUCUCUUCCCCUAUGAAAUCACCGAGUUGGACCAGGAGAUCUCAAAUACCAGUUUAAAGCCUACUGUGCUAGAUGCUGGAACCACAGUCCAGGCCACGUACUGUCACAUCGUGCAGCGCAGGAUGGUGGAGGACACCAUAACAAGCAGGCCAAUGAGAGGUCACGUAACACAAAAGAGAUCGAUGGUAUGGGCUCUUGCAACUAUGAGAGCCCUCAGAGGCCAGCAAAUCUGAAGUAACAAAAAUACAACUUUUCAAAGCCACAGGAACAAGACCUUUACAAAUUCAUCAUUUGAAGAGAUUGCCCUGGCAGGCAGAGUGCUGUCUUUCCCUGGAUGUAGGUGAAUUAGCUCUGUAACCUCAAGCGGCUCCUCACAAGAUGCCAUUUCUCUGCUUCUCCCAGUCCUCAUUAUAAUCUACAGGGCCACUUGUGUGGAGGACACUGCCUCCAAGCUUAAACUAAAACUUGAAAUCCUCGGAAAGAACAAAAACAAGGAUAUCCAGCCAGAUGUGUCUCUAAAGCAAUGAACAAGGCUUCAAAAAAUUGAGUUUCCAUUCAAAUAUGUUACACCAUCACUGAAGAAGUACAAGUCAGCAGAAACCUAGAGUGGAAUGUUCCAAAGUGGUGGUGGUAUUGUAACAAUAAUAAUAAUAUCUUGCACAAGUUAUGAAGUAAACAGCAUCAACUCCUUUAAAAGAAUACUGAUGGUUGAAGCACGAUGUUCACUGAUACCUGAAGAAUGUGAACCAGUUGUGAAUAGCAAGGAGAAACUGAAAGCAGAGAGAAAGCCAGGACAAAGUUGAGUGGAUGUUGCAAAGCAAAGCAUUGCAGAUACACUGGUGGGCAUUUAUGAUACAAAACCGAACUGCAGUGCAAUGAAUCAAAUGGAUGACAACAGUUCAAAGAAGCAGAAACAAAAUACGCGUACCUACAACUGCAAACAAUGGCAUAAUCACAAAAUGCCAACCACAAAGAAAGCAUAAGCAAGGACAUUUAAAAAGCCAAACAGAAAACUGUUUCCUGAUCUCAUGGAUAGUUUUGGCAGGCUAUGAUUCAGCAAAUUAAAAGAGCCCAUUCAGUUCCACUCAGAAAUCAUCCUCACUGACACUGGCUUGUCAUGAUUUUAUGUUUUAACCAAGGCAGGAUGACCAGGCUGCCAGAAAGAAACGAGAAGGAAUAUGUAAAGAUGAUAGUGAUAAGAAUGAGUGUGGACCUUAUUUUCAGACUUUUGAAAAAUGAAGAAUCUUGUAGUGGGAAAAAAAACAUCUAUGAAGUAGAAGAAACUGACUUUGAAUUGUGGAUUAUGUGCUUUUUCUUCCUUGAACUUGAUCUGCUGGUGACCUGUGCAGUCUACAUUGCUGACAUGUGUCCUCAGAUAUGUGUCCUCAGACAUGUGUCCAGACGUGUAUUUCUCUUGUCUUCUGACAGGCACCCUGGGGCCUCUGCGCAGAAGGCAUUUUUUUUUUUUUUUAAUUUCCUACAUUGGGAUCCUCUUGAACUUAGGCAGUAAAAUCUGGGUUCCAAUCCCACAUGAGUUACGGUUCAUGAUUACAAAAUUUCAAAAUAUAUUCAUUUUUUCUACCGAGACACUAGGCAAGCCAGACAGAAUUCCAUGUGACCUCUACUGCAGAGGAGAAUUUUCCUAAAUCCACGCCUUCUCUGGUGGUAGUCCUUCAAGGAGUCUGGCCGUAUGCUGUAUAGCCAAGUACCCUAGCUCUUGCCUCCUGUCCCCACGUGAAUGUCAAGAUCCAAAUCCUAGGAAAUGGAAUCUAAUAGCCCUUCCCCAACCUCUUCUCUCCAAGCCAGUUGGAGCACUAGCUUUCCCACUUAUUGCUCUGGUUUUCAUUUCUGCCUUUUUUUCCUGACGCUGGAAAUUUCCCA